This 268-nucleotide ribosomal RNA is filed under the name uncultured prokaryote. RNAcentral describes it as "partial 16S ribosomal RNA". It matches the Rfam family "Bacterial small subunit ribosomal RNA", at positions 524 to 792 of the family's 1533-position model. The record is from RNAcentral.
UACGUAGGGGCGAGCGUUGUCCGGAAUGAUUGGGCGUAAAGGGCGCGUAGGCGGCCUAUCAAGUCAGUAGUGGAAGUCCAAUUUUCAAGAUUGGAAGUGCUAUUGAAACUGAAUGACUUGAGUGCAGGAGAGGUUAUCGGAAUUCCCGGUGUAGCGGUGAAAUGCGUAGAGAUAUGGAGGAACACCAGUGGCGAAGGCGGCUUCCUGGUCUGUAACUGACACUGAGGCGCGAAAGCGUGGGGAGCAAACAGGAUUAGAUACCCGGGUA